This 253-nucleotide ribosomal RNA is filed under the name uncultured bacterium. RNAcentral's name for it is "partial 16S ribosomal RNA". It matches the Rfam family "Bacterial small subunit ribosomal RNA", at positions 524 to 776 of the family's 1533-position model. The record is from RNAcentral.
UACGGGGGGGGCAAGCGUUGUUCGGAAUUACUGGGCGUAAAGGGCUCGUAGGUGGCCAACUAAGUCAGACGUGAAAUCCCCAGGCUCAACCUGGGAACUGCGUCUGAUACUGGAUGGCUUGAAUUCGGGAGAGGGAUGCAGAAUUCCAGGUGUAGCGGUGAAAUGCGUAGAUAUCUGGAGGAACACCGGUGGCGAAGGCGGCAUUCUGGACUGUAACUGACACUGAGGAACGAAAGCCAGGUGAGCAAACGGG